GUAACCUACGGGGGGCAGCAGUGGGGAAUAUUGCACAAUGGGGGAAACCCUGAUGCAGCAACGCCGCGUGAGUGAAGAAGUAUUUCGGUAUGUAAAGCUCUAUCAGCAGGGAAGAAGAUGACGGUACCUGAUUAAGAAGCCCCGGCUAACUACGUGCCAGCAGCCGCGGUAAUACGUAGGGGGCAAGCGUUAUCCGGAUUUACUGGGUGUAAAGGGAGCGUAGACGGCAUAGCAAGUCUGAAGUGAAAGCCCAAGGCUCAACCAUGGGACUGCUUUGGAAACUGUU
Molecule: ribosomal RNA, 286 nt
Filed under: uncultured bacterium
Lineage: Bacteria
Description: partial 16S ribosomal RNA
Rfam family: Bacterial small subunit ribosomal RNA
Source: RNAcentral